Molecule: RNA transcript, 1905 nt
Organism: Centropristis striata (black sea bass)
Lineage: Eukaryota; Metazoa; Chordata; Actinopteri; Perciformes; Serranidae
Exons: 6
Source: RefSeq, a predicted model, not a curated record
GGUGUGAGAUAGGUGAGUUUAAAAAGAGCUCCAGUGUUUCUUUAGUCACUUAUUUUUUUUGGACUGGUUCAGUUCUGUGGGUUUUUGUAGGAGCUUAAAGAAGAGUUUGCUGCAUCAUAUCUUAACAACUGAGGCUGGAGCUAUGGGGUUUCUCUUAGGAUGGUUCCUGUUGACUCUGCUAGCUGUUGGAAGACCUCAAGCAAAUGCUUACAGUAUUGGAUCAGUUGAGAAGUAUGGAGGCAAUGAAGUGCCAGUUGCAGGCUAUCAACCGUUGCCCCAGAUGCCCAGCUUCGCACCCCAGCAGCAACCUCAGCAGCAGUUGCCCCAGAUGCCUAGCUUCCAACCCAAGCAGCAACCUCAGCAGCAGUUGCCCCAGGUGCCUAGCUUCCCAGCCAAGCAGCAACCUCAGCAGCAGUUGCCCCAGGUGCCUAGCUUCCCAGCCAAGCAGCAACGGCAGCAGCAGGUGGCGCAGGUGCCUAGCUUCCCAGCCAAGCAGCAACGGCAGCAGCAGGUGGCGCAGGUGCCUAGCUUCCCAGCCAAGCAGCAACGGCAGCAGCAGGUGGCACAGGUGCCUAGCUUCCCAGCCAAGCAGCAACGGCAGCAGCAGGUGGCGCAGGUGCCUAGCUUCCCAGCCAAGCAGCAACGGCAGCAGCAGGUGGCGCAGGUGCCUAGCUUCCCAGCCAAGCAGCAACGGCAGCAGCAGGUGGCGCAGGUGCCUAGCUUCCCAGCCAAGCAGCAACGGCAGCAGCAGGUGGCGCAGGUGCCUAGGUUCCCAGCCAAGCAGCAACGGCAGCAGCAGGUGGCGCAGGUGCCUAGGUUCCCAGCCAAGCAGCAACGGCAGCAGCAGGUGGCGCAGGUGCCUAGGUUCCCAGCCAAGCAGCAACGGCAGCGGCAGGUGGCGCAGGUGCCUAGGUUCCCAGCCAAGCAGCAACAGCAGCGGCAGGUGGCGCAGGUGCCUAGGUUCCCAGCCAAGCAGCAACAGCAGCGGCAGGUGUCGCAGGUGCCUAGCUUCCCAGCCAAGCAGCAACGGCAGCGGCAGGUGUCGCAGGUGCCUAGCUUCCCAGCCAAGCAGCAACGGCAGCGGCAGGUGUCGCAGGUGCCUAGCUUCCCAGCCAAGCAGCAACAGCAGCGGCAGGUGUCGCAGGUGCCUAGCUUCCCAGCCAAGCAGCAGCGGCAGAUGUCGCAGGUGCCUAGCUUCCCAGCCAAGCAGCAGCGGCAGAUGCCGCAGGUGCCUAGCUUCCCAGCCAAGCAGCAGCGGCAGAUGCCGCAGGUGCCUAGCUUCCCAGCCAAACAGCAGCGGCAGGUGCCUAGCUUCCCAGCCAAGCGGCAGCGGCAGAUGCCGCAGGUGCCUAGCUUCCCAGCCAAGCGGCAGCGGCAGAUGCCGCAGGUGCCUAGCUUCCCAGCCAAUCGGCAACGGCAGAUGCCGCAGGUGCCUAGCUUCCCAGCCAAUCGGCAACGGCAGAUGCCGCAGGUGCCUAGCUUCCCAGCCAAGCGGCAACGGCAGAUGCCGCAGGUGCCUAGCUACCCAGCCAAGCGGCAACGGCAGAUGCCGCAGGUGCCUAGCUACCCAGCCAAGCAACAGUCCCGCUGUGUUCACGAGUUGCCCCAGCAGCCACGCUACAUGCCCAAGAUGGCCAAGUUGCCCCAGCAGCCACGCUACAUGCCCAAGAUGGCCAAGUUGCCCCAGCAGCCACGCUACAUGCCCAAGAUGGCCAAGUUGCCCCAGCAGCCACGCUACGGGCCAAAGCUGCUGCGCAGGCAGUAGAUGCCCCUGAAAUGGGUACGGCACAACGGCUGGAGUUGGGACAACAUUGGGAACCACAACGCUGGAGGUUCCUCAAGACUGCUUUCAACCGGGCCAUUGUACUGACUUGUGAAAUGAAAAUAAACAUUGUGUUUAAUCAA